UAUAUAUAUAUAUAUAUAUUAGUUUUAAGAAGAGAAUCAUUUCUGUCAUUCUGUGUGUUUCAUUCUUUUCUGAGGUUCUAAUUCACUCUUCCAAGGAAAUUAAAUCUACAAUCCUCUCCAAGGAAGGAAUGAAAAAUUGUCAAGGAAGGAUGUAGGAAAGUAAAAAAUCAUACAAAGUAUUAGCCUGCUGCAAUAUGAGGGGAAAAAUUAUCACGCUCUACCAUGCAUGAAGUGACUCUGAAGUUAGUCACACGAACAGAGACUGGUGAUUUUAGUAUCAUAAGCUUAUUGAGUUUAGUACAUCUUGAUUCUCGGUUUCGUUCAUCUUGCAUUCAACUGAUGCUGCUUUCCAUUGUUCUUUGCCACCAAAUCAAUGAGAUUGCAAUAAGUCCACUUUUUCUUUUCUCUAGCAUUAGGGUCAAGAGAGGAGUAUGCUUCUUCACAUCUUCUGAGAAACUGGCCCUUUCCAAAUGCAGUGAGAACCAGAGGAUCCGUUUGCAUUUCCACACAUCUGUAAAGAAGGCCCAUCCUUCUCCAUGUCUCUAAGAUUCCUGUCCCGUGAAAGCCUAAGUCACAUGCAUCAAAUAGAAUUCCCACAGUGACUAUGUCAGGUUCCACAUGAAGGUUCGUUAACUUGGAGAGUAACAUCCUUAAGUGCGUGAAGUCUUUCAUCUUCAAGUAUGCUAGCAAAAUAAUGUUUGCAAAUGUUACAUUCCAAGAAACCUUUGCUUGUUCCAUCUCUCUAACAAUGGAAUCCAUGCCUUUUUGACUCAAUGAACACGAAUUAGAAAGGAGGUGCAGACACCAAACAAUAUCAGUCUUACCAUUUCUAGAAGAAAGAUCAUCUCCCAAGUCAUCUAAUCUUGAAUACAUGAAAUUUUCAAUAUAAACCACAGCCAUUUUUCUGAUUAAAUCUUCCUUUAAAGUAGCUUUGGAGUUCCACACCCUUCUUAAAAUCUUAUCCAUCUUUUCUACAAUCCCAAAGUUCACAUAAGCCUCAAGCAUGGCAAUCAAAGUAGAAGACCGCAAAUCCAUCCUUUUUGUUCGCAUAGAUUGAUACACCCUUUCCAUUUUAUUAAGCAAACCAGCUUGUGCAAAUUCUUGGAUAAGUAAAUUAUAAGUAAAGCAGUCAGGCGAACACCCAUCCAGCUCCAUCUUCUUCAAGCACAUACCCAUCUCAUCAUACAUUUUGUACUUUCCAUAAGCUUGAAUCAAGCCAUCAUAGGUGUCACUUUCCAAUGGCAAAUUAGUUUCUUUCAUCUGAUUAAGGUAAAACAAGGCAUCAUCGAACUUCCCAUUUCUAGCAUAACUAUGAACUAAGGAAUUGUAUAUUUGUAGGGAAGGGCUCAAACCAAAACUCUUCAUUUCCAUGAAUGCCAAAGAUGCAUCUUCCAUUAGAUCUUCUUCGCUUAAUAAACCUAUAAUCUUCUCAUAAUUGAAUUCAUUAAUUCGUGAUUUCUCUAUGUUCUUCCAAGUAUCAAACACCUGAAGAACUUCCUUCGAUCUGGAGGAAAGUUUAAGGAAUCUGAUGACAGCCCAGAAGUGUUCUUUGGACCAAUCUCCAUCAUCCUGAAGCAUUUCCAAAGGGCAAGAACCCUUCUUGUUCAGCUUAGCAAGCAAGACCUUUAGCCUUCGGUGUUCAUGGUAGCUCUCAACAAGCAGGGUUUUGUGCUUUGUGGAAUUAUCCUGGGGAAUUGUAUGAGGCGGGGCUAAUGGGUGGAGACAGGAUAUGGGUUUUAGGAGUUGGGAGAUGGGUUUUUGGAUUAGGGUUUUGGAGAAGCGGAUUUUGUUAUUGUUGCUCUUACAUUUCCAUGUACAUAGUAUUUUGAGACUAUUCUGCAAAGUACAUAUGUCAUCCAUUACCUCUCCAAAACCUAUUCCAAGUCUGAUUAUAAUUAAAUUUAGUUUCCAACUUGAAGCUGCACUGUUAGAAAUAUACAUACACUCGUUGGUCACAAUAAGAUUUGCAAGUAUUUGUGGUUGAGGAACUCCAAAUGGGAUGGAUUUGGAAGGCGAAGGCGAUGUUGAAUUGCAGAGAAGAGCAAGAGAUGUGAGGAAGCGUGCAGCAACCUGCGCCCUUUUACCACUUCUUUUUGGGGGUUGUUCAUUCCGCAACCCAACUGCAAGAGUAAUUAUAUGAAGGCCUGCUGCCAAACCAAUCACAGAGGGGGAACUAAAUAGCAAUGAAUAUCAUAAAUUUUAAUUUUAUCCAUAUAUUAGAA
Molecule: unclassified non-coding RNA, 2222 nt
Filed under: Hevea brasiliensis (rubber tree)
Lineage: Eukaryota; Viridiplantae; Streptophyta; Magnoliopsida; Malpighiales; Euphorbiaceae
Source: RNAcentral